AGCUCAAUACAAAAGCCCUGGGUUCAAUCCCUGGGAUCAGCAGACGAAAAUCAACUGUGAGGCCCCACAAGGAUUAAAGGAACAGUGGGUCUGCGUGGGUGGCACACGUGACGUAGGAUUGGUCCUGGAUUUGGGCUGGAGUUGGGGCCGCGGACCUGUGAUUAUUCUCAAGGAAAGGCGCAUGUCACAGGCCACCUUUCUGUCCCCCUCAUUCCCAGACAGAAGCUCCUCAGGGACCGCACAUUCUGUGAAGGAAACGGCAAACAGGACGAUGCAAAGAAACAGAGCAGAGAGCUGGGGCCCUGGAUUUGAUCUCCUCUCCACCAUGAGUUAACUGCUAAGGUUCGAGGUUCAGAUGGGAAGCCAGAUGAGAAGCCAGAGUUGGAGAAGGGCCACCACACGCUCCAGCCACCCACUUCAGAAAGCAGAGACAUCAGAAUUUGCACCCAGGUGAAAUCUACACUGUCUUUAAAAGCUUUUAAGACUGCAAUAAACAUACAUCUCUUUCCCGUAUAAUUUUAAUGGCCUGAAGGAGAGAAUCUAGCGUCCUUGUUAGCUGAAUGGGUGAGUCUGGGGGGAAAACUGACCCAAAUGAGGUCACUCGCCCAGGCGCAGGCCCAACAUAACCGCAGGCCCAACAGAACCGGAUUCCCUAUUCUGUUUUGCAGAGGGCACCAAGGGCAGGUUCCCCCACGGGCCGCCAGGAGGCGACGGAGAGCAACCGAUCCGGCUGUCCUGGGCUUGACUGACGUCCCUGGGCGGCCCGAAGCCCGGCGGAAAAGGCAGGUGCGGGAGCAGCAUAAGAUCCCCCCGAGGCUAGAAAGUGUGUUCAUCCUAUCCCCUCCUGUCGCGAUCUGUCCUCCACCAGUAUCUGCGCUGAGGCCACCUUGGAUGGAUGUCUUUUAAACAAAAAACCUAAAAUAAAUAAAUAAACAAAAAAACCUGA
This is a long non-coding RNA of Cavia porcellus (domestic guinea pig), 946 nucleotides long. RefSeq lists it as uncharacterized. Lineage: Eukaryota; Metazoa; Chordata; Mammalia; Rodentia; Caviidae. The record is from RefSeq and is a predicted model, not a curated record. The transcript is spliced from 3 exons.